This 849-nucleotide ribosomal RNA is filed under the name uncultured bacterium. RNAcentral describes it as "bacterial SSU rRNA". It matches the Rfam family "Bacterial small subunit ribosomal RNA", at positions 8 to 829 of the family's 1533-position model. The record is from RNAcentral.
AGAGUUUGAUCAUGGCUCAGAACGAACGCUGGCGGCGUGGAUAAGACAUGCAAGUCGGACGCUUGUAUUUUUAUAGCAAUAUGAGGAUACGGGAGUGGCGAAAGGGUGCGUAACACGUGGGUAAUUUGUCCAAGAGUUCAGGAUAAUUCGCUGAAAGGCGGAGUAAUACUGGAUGUGGAUAUUGACUGGGAACAGUUGAUUUCUAAAGCCGGGGACCGCAAGGCCUGGUGCUCAUGGGUAAGCCCGCGACCUAUCAGCUAGUUGGUGAGGUAAGAGCUCACCAAGGCGGAGACGGGUAGCUGGUCUGAGAGGACGACCAGCCACACUGGAACUGAGACACGGUCCAGACACCUACGGGUGGCAGCAGUCGAGAAUUUUUCUCAAUGGGGGAAACCCUGAAGGAGCGACGCCGCGUGGGGGAUGAAGGGCUUCGGCUCGUAAACCCCUGUCAUUUGUGAGCAAGUGUUAUUGUUUAAGAGAUGAUGACAUUGAUAGUAGCAAAAGAGGAAGGGACGGCUAACUCUGUGCCAGCAGCCGCGGUAAUACAGAGGUCCCAAGCGUUGUUCGGAAUCACUGGGCGUAAAGGGUGCGUAGGCGGUAUAGUAAGACUUGGGUGAAAUCUCCAUGCUUAACGUGGAGGGAGCCUGGGAGACUGCUGUGCUAGAGGAUUGGAAGGGAGACUGGAAUUCUUGGAGUAGCAGUGAAAUGCGUAGAUAUCAAGAGGAACACCAGUGGCGAAGGCGAGUCUCUGGACAAGACCUGACGCUGAGGCACGAAGGCCAGGGGAUCAAACGGGAUUAGAUACCCCGGUAGUCCUGGCAGUAAACGGUGCACACUUGCUGUGUGAGG